This 25-nucleotide non-coding RNA is filed under the name Mus musculus (house mouse). Lineage: Eukaryota; Metazoa; Chordata; Mammalia; Rodentia; Muridae. The record is from RNAcentral.
UGGAAUGAGCUCAGGGUCCUCGAUG